CGGAAAGUAGCUCAGUUUGGUAGAGCGCGAGAAACGUCUUUUCGAUUUUGUCGCCGUAUUAAUAUUUUAGCGAAUGCAGUUGGAACUACAUUUAACGUGCGUGUUGUCGGUUCGAGUCCGACCGUUUUGU
RNAcentral lists this transfer RNA (130 nucleotides) under Acidobacteriota bacterium. RNAcentral describes it as "tRNA-OTHER". It matches the Rfam family "tRNA". Rfam says of the family: Transfer RNA (tRNA) molecules are approximately 80 nucleotides in length. Their secondary structure includes four short double-helical elements and three loops (D, anti-codon, and T loops). The record is from RNAcentral. Lineage: Bacteria; Pseudomonadati; Acidobacteriota.